Molecule: long non-coding RNA, 301 nt
Filed under: Athene cunicularia (burrowing owl)
Lineage: Eukaryota; Metazoa; Chordata; Aves; Strigiformes; Strigidae
Description: lncRNA (ENSACUG00000007887.1)
Source: RNAcentral
AACAAAGAGGCACAAUGGUGCAGCUCGUUGACUGUAAAGAUGCAUUAAAUAUGGCCAUGCUGAAGGGGAUUUUACUGACAGAAGCUGAAGAAUGUCUUAGCCAUCUUGUGCAGAAUAUACAGGACAAAUAUGAUGGGGAGAUAUCUCGGUGUUCUGCUGAAGAUUUAGAGGCUCUUAUUGAAACCAAACUUCAGCUCGCUGCUAUUUUUCAGCAAAGGCAUCAAGCAGCUUUAAGUGUUGCUUUGGCUUUCUCUGCAAUUCGAAUUCUCCAAGAUGCAAAAAUUUUUAGCAUCGAAGUGAC